UUGUGACUUAAUAGGUAUUCAUUGAAGACUUGCUACAGGCCUCAUUGCUGGGCCAUGUGUAGAGAGUGGAAAAUAUAAAACAAGAAUUCCUUUUUUCACUGAGUUCAUUAUGUAGUUGAGGAGAUGAGGUUAGCACACCUGAUGUUUAUUUGAGUGCUGCCUAUUUGCAAGAUGAGGGCAAAAAGAUGAAUACUCAAUCUACUUUAGCCCUACUCUGGCAAAGCCAUACCUUUGACUUUGGCAUAAGUACUUUUCUCACCUUCCUGCUCUACUACCCCUUUUUUAAAUGAACCCUUAUUUUUUGUCUUAGAAUCAAUAUUAUGUAUUGAUCCCUAGGGAGAAGAGCGAUAAGGGCUAGGAAAUGGGGGUUAAGUGACUUGUCUAGGGACACACAGCUAGAAAGAGUCUGAGGCCACAUUUGAAUUGACAACCUUCCAUCUCUAGGCCUGGCUCUCAAUCCACUGAGCUACCCAGUUGCCCCCUUAUACUUCUCUUAAUAUCUGCUAAUUAUGAUCUUCAGCCUCAUUUCAACUUCUGGCCCCUUUAUCCUUUUCCCAAUUUCUAUAAUCCAUUGGUUCCCUAAUGACUACUUUCUUUUCUAUCUAGUUUGGCCAGCCAAGUGGCACAAUGAAUAGAGUGCCAGGCCUGGAGUAGGAAAAUUUAUCUUCCCAAGUUCAAAUCUGGCCUCAGACACUUACUCGAUAUAUGACCCUGGCCUGUUUGCCUCAAUUUCCACAUUUGUAAAAUGAACUGGAAAAGGAAAUGGUAAACCACUUCGGUAUCUUUGCCAGAAAACCCCAAAUGGAAUCAUGUAGAGUCAGACAAAACUGAAUAUCUAGUUUGGUCUCCCGAGUCGGCCAUUCCAGAAUGCCCUCAAGUCCCUUCUGAUUUUUUACAGAGCUUACUGUAAUUUUUUUUUUUGCUGUAUUUGCUGGAAAAAGUUAUAAAACCAUGCUGACUAGGUUUAUAACAGUUUCAUGCUAUCAUGCUUCAACCAGGUCCUCCCUGCCACUUGCCAAUUCUCAUUUCUUAUUGAUUUCCACUAGAACAUAAGUUCCUUCAGGACAAUCUUUUUCAAUUUUUGUCCUAACAUCCUUAGCACCCUGCACAAAUUAUGUACUUAAAGAUGCUACUUUAAUCCUUACAAAUAUUCCCUCCAGCUGCAAAACCUUAAAUUCCUAGUUACCCUUCCACAUCCUAUAUUAUCUUACUCCUUGCUUUUUAUUAAAUAAAAAUCUGCAAAUUGAUAGGUUUUGUGAGUUCCAUAUUGUUAUUUCAUCUACAAAUGAAAUUAUCUUCUGAUUAGUCUUAUUAUUAUUAUUUUUAAUUUAGAAUAUUUUUCCAUGGUUACAUGAUUCAUGAUUUUCCCCACCCCUCUUCCCUCCCUCUCUUGGAGCUGACAAGCAAUUCCACUGGGUUAUACAUGUAUCAUUCAAAACCUAUUUCCAUAUUAUUCAUAUUUGUAAUAGAGUGACCUUUUAACAAUAAAACCCCAAUCAUAUCCCCAUCGAGCCACAUAAUCAUUCAUAUCUUCUUUUUCUUCUUGAAUUGCUACCACUAGCAUUUCUAGUACAAUAGUAAAUAAUAGAGGUGAUAAUGGAUAUUCUCGCUUCCCUCCUGAUCUUACUGGGAAGGCUUCUAACCUGUCUUCAUUGCAGAUGAUACUUGCUGAUGGUUUUAGAUAUAUACUGUUUAUUAUUUUUAGGAAAGGCCCUUCUAUUCCUAUGCUUUCUAGUGUUUCCAAUAGGAAUAAGUGUUGUAUUUUGUAAAAGACUUUUUCUGCAUCUAUUGAGAUAAUCAAGUGAUUUCUGCUGGUUUGGUUAUUGAUAUGGUCAAUUAUGUGGAUGGUUUUCCUAAUAUUAAACCAUCCUUUCAUUCCUGGUAUGAAUCCUACCUGGUCAUAGUGAAUAAUCGUCAUGAUAACUUGCUGUAGUCUUUUUACUAGUAUUUUAUUUAAGAUUUUUUUCAUCUAUAUUCAUCUAUGCAUCAUCUAAUCUCAUUAAGGAGAUUGGUCUGUGGUAUUCUUUCUCUGUUUUUGGUCUGCCUGGCUUUGGAAUCAAUACCAUAUUUGUGUCAUUAAAAGAAUUUGGUAAGAUUUUUUUAUCUUUGCUUAUUUUAUCAAAUAAUUUUUACUCUAUUGGGAUUAAUUGCUCUUUUAAUGUUUGAUAGAAUUCAAUUAUAAACCCAUCUGGCCUUGGAGAUUGUUUAUUAGGAAGUUCCUUGAUGACUUGUUCAAUUUCUUUUUCUGAGAUGGGAUUAUUUAAGUAUUCUAUUUCCUCUUUUGUUAAUCUAGGCAAUUUAUAUUUUUGUAAAUAUUCACUCAUUUCACCUAGAUUGUCACAUUUGUUGCCAUAUAAUUAGGUAAAAUAGUUCUUAAUAAUUACCUUAAUUUCCUCUUCAUUAGAGGUGAGAUCACUCUUUUCAUCUUUGAUACUGUUAAUUAGCUUCUCUUCUUUCUUUUUCCAGUACUUUAUCUAUUUUAUUUGUUUUUUCAAAGUAUCAACUCCUAGUCUUAUUUAUUAGUUCAAUAGUUCUUUUACUUUCAAUUUUGUUAAUUUCUCUUCUAAUUUUUAGGAUUUCAAAUUUAGUUUUUAUCUGGGGAUUUUUAAUUUGUUCUUUUUCUAAUUUUUUAAGUGGCAGUCCCAAUUCAUUGACCUCAUCCCUCUCAAUUUUGUUGCUAUAGACACUCAGAGAUAAAAUUUUCCCCUGAGUACUGCUUUGGCUAUAUCCCAUAGGUUUUGAUAUGUUGUUUCCUCAUUGUCAUUCUCUUUAAUAAAGUCCAUAAUUGUUCCUAUGAUUUCUUUUUGACCCACAUGUUUUGAAGAAUUAGAUUAUUGUUUCCAAUUAAUUUUAAAUUUGCCUUUCCACAGACCCUUGUUAAGUAUAAUUUUUAUUGCAUUAUGAUCUGAAAAAAUUACAUUUAUUAUUUCUGAUUUUCUGCAUUUGUUUUCAAUAUUUCUAUGCUCUAGUACAUGGUCAAUCUUUGUAUAUGCACCUUGAACUGCUAAGAAGAAGAUAUAUAUUCUUUUUUAUCCCUGUUCAGUUUUCUCCAGAUAUCUUUUAACUCUAAUUUUUCUAGUGUUUCAUUCACUUUCCUUACUUCUUUCUUAUUUAUUUUUUUGGUUUGAUUUAUCUAGUUCUCAAAGGGGAAGGUUGAGAUCCCCCACUAGUAUGGUAUUACAGUCUAUUUCCUUCUACAAGCUUUCUUGUAGAAAUCUAGGUGCUGUACCAUUUGGUGCAUGAAUGUUUAAUAAUAUUAUUUCAUUGUUUGUAGUACCCUUUAGCAAAUUGUUAUUUCCUUCCUUAUCUCUUUUAAUCAGAUCAAUUUCUGAUUUAGCUUUGUUUGGUAUCAUGAUUGCUAUUCCUGCUUUUUUUACUUUAGAGGAUGCAUAAUAAAUUCUGCUCCAGACUUUUACCUUGAAUCUGUAUGUGUCACCCUGUCUCAAAUGUGUUUCUUGUAGACAACAUAUAGUAGGAUUCUGGUUUUUAAGCACCUCCGCUAUCUGCUUCCGUUUUAUAGGUGUGUCCAUCCCAUUCACAUUCAGCAUUAUGAUUGCUGUGUAUUGCCUUCCAUCAUAUUAUCCCCUUUAAAUCCUGCUCUAUUCCCUUUCUCUCUGUUAUCCUUCACCACUAUUUUGCCUUUUUGUCACACACCCCCUUCCCCUCCCUCUAGUUGCCUUCCUUUUCCCUUGUCUUAUUCCCCUUCUACUUCUCUUUGGGGUAAGAUAGAAUUCUAUACUCCACUGAUUAGAAUAAGAUAGAAUUCCCCACUGUGUACACUUGUUUUACCCUCUCUGAUCCAGCUACAAUGAGAAUAAGCUUUCAGCAUUGACCAUCACCACCUUUCUCCUCCCCUCUGUAUAAUGAUUUUUCAUACCUCUUUAUGUUAUAUAGUUUACCCCAUUCUAUCUCUCCUGUAAAUCUUGAAAUCUCUCAGACUUGUGAAUGUUAAAAAUUUCCCCAUCAGGGAAUUCUUAAUUGGAACAAAUUCCCUACUGAGAAACAUUCCCCAUUUUGAUGUGAGAACUCGCCAGGAUCAGAAAUGGGAGGACCUCUACUCCAACCUUACUUAAGACUGCUUUAGGGAAAAAAAAAACUCCUUGCUAAACAAAGAAAGUUCUUGGAUCCAUGCUUAUGGUGGGGCAAGGAGUUCUUUGAGCCAGGCCUGUUUUUAGAAUUGAUACAAUGGGAUGCUAAGUGCCCAUAAAGGUGGGGCAACUUGUAAACUACUUAGACCUAAAAGGUAAAAACUUACUCAGAGGUUUUCUCUUAAUGAAAUUAGUCAACACAGCAGCAUUUUUUUUCUCUUACUAAAGAGAUUAAUCUACUCAGCUGUGAAUUCAAAAUGGGCUGUCUUUUGGAAAACAUCUACAGUGAUUGGUAGAUGUAGGGACUUAGGGGAGGUGACAUGGGAGAAAAACCGCUAUAUAAGAAAAAGCAGAAUCUCUUGAGGAGAGAUAUAUCCUUUUGGAUAUAUCCUUUUGGAGAAAUCCUUUUGGAGGAUCUCUGAUGAGGAUAGCUUGGGAAGAAUCUCUUGAGAGAGGCUCUGGAGAAGGGAAGCUCUUGGAGGACAAUCUCUAAGGAGGUCUCACUGGAAGGCUCUCUGGUGAAGUCACCUGAUAUGGAGCUAGCCUGGUGUUACUAGAAUCCUUGUUUAGUCAGACCUUGUGGUGAGUGUUAAAAAACUGACUGAUUUCUCUUUUAAAGACUCAGGUCUAGGCCAUAUUGGCUUGAGGCCCUUCAUACUUAUUCCUUUCUUACUCUCUCUCUCUCUCUCUCUCUCUCUCUCUCUCUCUCUCUCUCUCUCUCUCUCUUUCUUUGAUUACUCAUUGUAUUGUUAAUUAGAAUCUCUAUAAAACCCAAUUGACUUGGGUAUUUGAAUAAUUGGGAAUAUUUCCCUGGCGACCACCUUAUAUUUGAUUUUAAAACCCAAGACACUGUAGUGAAACAUAUUUCUGCGGUCAAAUUUACUCACCCUCUCUUAUAUCUAUCACAAUUUAUAUCUUCCACUAUUUCAAUCACUACAGUUUAAGACCUCAACCAUUUUAAAUCUCACACUCCCUUCCCUUAUUUCUUAGUGCAACCCUCUCAGCCCUUGAUAGAUUUUUUACAUAUUAUUCAUAUGCAUAUAUAUCAUGCCAUAUAAUACAUAUAUAUUGUUCCAUAUCACAUUUACAUAUAUAUCAUAUCAUCAUAUACAUCAUAUCAUAAUCAGUUUACUUCUCUGUCCUCUUUCUGAGUUAAUUCCUUCUACUCUACUACUAAGAAUGAUUUUUGAGAAUUACAGAAAUCCUCUUUCCAUGUAGGCAUAUAAACAUUUUCGCCUUAAUGAGUCCCUUAAAAUUUCUUUUUCUUAUUUACCUUUCUGGGCUUCUCGUGUCUCAUGUUUGGACUUCAUAUUUUUUGUUUAGGUUUGGCUUAUUCCUCAGGAAUGCAUAGAAAUUUUCUAUCUUAUUGAAUGUCCAUUUUACCCCCCUGAAAGGAUAUACUCAGUUUUGCUGGAUAGGUGACUCUGGGUUGUAAACCCAAAUCUUUUGCCUUCCUGAAUAUUAUAUGCCAUGCCUUUGUAUCCUUUAAUGUAGAAGCUGCUAGAUCCUGUUUGAUCCUGAUUGUAGCUCCAUGGUAUUUGAAUUGUUUCUUUCUGACUGCUUGAAAUAUUUUUUCCUUGGCUUGGUGACUUGAAUUUAGCUUUCCUGGAAAGUGUCAUUUGAGGAUUUCUUUCUAGAGGCGAUCUGUCAAUUGUUUCAAUUUCAAUUUUUUUUUUUUGUUUGAGGAUCUCUGGGAAGUUAUCUUUGAUAAUUCUUGUAAUAUUAUAUCCAAGGUUUUUUCUUGAUCAUGGAUUUCAGGUAGUCCAAUAAUUCUCAAAUUGUCUCUCCUAGAUCUAUUUUCAGGGUCAGUUGUUUUAUCAAUAUACUGUUUGUAGAUAGAAAGGGAACAUUUGAACGAUUAUGAGAAAGAUCUAUGUUUCAUAUCUAGCAGAUUAUUCAAUUCAUUAGAGUAUUUGAACAUUGUAUUAUUAAGACUGUGUUAGGUGUUAGCUGCUAGGGGAGAUGGGACUAUAAAUAAGAUCUAGUUCCUGUCCAUAAAGAGAUUGAAAUUUCUAAGAGGUUCAUAUAUAUAUAUAUAUAUAUAUAUAUAUAUAUAUAUAUAUAUAUAUACAUAUAUAUGAUUAUACUAUAAAUUGGAGUACAAUUGAUAAAAGGAAUAUACAAUCCUAGAAAUCAGUGAAGGUGAGAUCACUUUAAGUUGUAGUGAAGGGUGGAGAUUAGGGAAGGCUACCCUGAAGAGGCAACUCUUACAUUGGACCAUGAAAAGAAUUAGGAUGCUAGUAAGGAGAGAAUGGAAGGAGAACACAGCAUCAGGCGAUGCUUACAUAUAGCAGGAGAAAAGAUGUUAGAGAAGUGGCUUGAGAAGUAGGAUGGAAACCAGGAAAAGCAUUGUACUACUGAAGCUAAGGAACAGAGAAUAUGGAGGAAGCUCUAAGACAAGAAAAGACCUUUGGAUUUAGCAGUUAGAAGAUCACUGGUCACUUUUAAGAGUUAGGCUCAGAGACAAUUUGGUUAUUUUAAAAACCCCUUACCUUCCCCCUUGGAUUCAGUACUGUGUACUGGUUCUGAGGCAGAAGAGUGCUAAGGGGUAGGCAAUGGGGAUUAAGUGACUUGCCCAGGAUCACAUAGCUGGGAAGUGUCUGAAGCUCCAUUUGAACCCAGGACCUCCCGUCUCUAGGCUUAGCUCUGUCUAUUGAGCCAUCCAGCUGUCCCCAGAGACUAAUCUUUCUUUCUCCACUUGUUCUCAUCCUUCCCAUUCUUGUCUCUUAUUUUUGUUUAUACUUUCCUCAUUCCUGGAAUGGAUUUCUUUUUCACCUAUGGAGUACAGUAGGUUAGAGUGCUAGAUGUCGAAUUAGGAAACUCUCAAUUCAAAUCUGGUCUCAGACAUGUACUAAUUUUGUUAUCCUGGUCAAGUCACUUAGACCUCUGUUUGCCUUAGUUUACUAAUCUGUAAAAUAAAUAUAAAUAACAUAGGACUUAGCUGCUAGGGUUGUUUUAAGGAUAAAAUUAGAUAAUGUUUUUAUACUUAUACAAAUUUAAAGCAGUCUAUAAAUGCUAGCUCUUAUUAUUUUACUCUUUUGUUAUCAUCAUCAUCAUUGCCAUAAUAGAGAAGUCCAGAGAUUUAGGGAAGGAUUCCUCUUUGAAUUUUUCAGCUGAAGAUCCAGAAUUCAAACUUGUCUCACUGGUAACUCUUCUUGUGAUAAAGUAUAAACAACUUACCAGCUUUGACUGCCUUCCUUUUAGACUGAGCUAUUUAUUCCAAGGUUUGUUUCCCAGAAAGCCCCUCUUUAUCUCUAGAAUUCUAAGUUUAUUCUCCCAAACAGUUAAAGAUGUACUUCUCUUUCUAAAGCACUCAGCACAGUGCCUGGCACAGAGUGGGGACUAUAUAACAGCUUAUUCCCUUCUCUUCCCUUCUUCCUAUGAACAAAAGGAAACGUAAUUGAGGGCUUUCUAGUAGAACAUCAUGGAGUCUCCUUCUGCCCCUAAUUAAACACUGUGACCUCAGGCAAGUUAUUUAAUCUCUCUGUGUGCUUCAGUGUUCUCACCAAUAAGAUAGAGAUAAUGAGACAUUCCCUUCCUAUCUCACAGGUUAUUGGGAAGCAGUAAAAAUGUUUUCAUUAAGUUUUACUUUUCUGCUUUUCUCUCUACCUUGGAGAGCUCAUUUAUUUUUAUGAAUUUAACUCUCUCUCAGAUGAUGGCUCCCAAAUCUAGAUCUAUAGUUCUUUUCUUUUACCUGAACUCCAGUCCCAUAUCUCCAGUUUUCUACUAAGCACUUUAACAGGGAGGAAAUGUCCAUAUCGCUUCAAAUUCUACAUGUAUAAAACCAGCUUCUCCUUCUAGCUUACUUAUUUCUUUCAGUAGCAUCAUCAAUUUCUCAAUUAUCAAGGUCCAAAACUUGGGCAUCUUCUUUGACUCAUUCUUCUUUCUCAUAUACUUUAACUUAACAGUUACCAAGUCCUUUCAUUUCUCUUGUUGAGAUGUCCCUCAGAGCCUCUCCUUCCCAAUUUGUAAUAACACUUCCGGUGACCCCUCCCCCUCAUUUCAAGCUUUCAUUGAAUCAUUCUCAGGUUAUUAAAAAAGACUCAAAGUUCAACUUCUGACUUACUUUUCUUUCUCAUCAUUUCAUCAUCCUGAAUUACUAAGACCAUUUAAAACAGUGAAAUCAACAAAAAGUGCAAAAACUCCCUCCCGAAAAUGUAUUACCAGACUGAGAAAAGGACACUUGUUUACAGCAUAGGAACCAAAACAAGAAGGGUAGCAAGAAGGGUAUCUGUCACCUUAUCCAGUUGAGAACAUUCACAAUGAGUGACUUCAGUUUUUUGUAGCUCUGUGCACAUCCACAUGAAUGACUAUGAAAAUGCCAUGACUAUAACUUUGAGGGUAACAAGUAAAUUUUGUCAAGUAGGCAAAUUCACAAAUAUGAAAUCCAUGAAUAAUGAGGAAUGACUCUUUCUCUCUCUGUGUAUUUUUAUGUAUGCAUGUGCCUAUGUAUGUAUAUGUGUAUUUCUCUUUACACACACACACACACACACACACACACACACACACAGACUUUUACCUAAAUAGGCCUUGAAUUCAAUUUUGAAAAUAUUCUCAAAAAAAGUUUUCAGGCUUUCACUUGAUCAGGGUUCCACUCUUUCAUUCUCUUAAUCUUUGAUACAUUCUUAGGUUUUUGACAAGGUAAAUUAUGUUGUGGAAGGAGGUAGUGGUUUAGGGGAUGGGUUAGAAUUAGACAGCUGUGAGAAACGUGUUCCUUAUUUGUUUCUGUCCUGUUCUGUCUGCCUCCUCAUUAGAUGAGCCCACUCACUGGUCCCAUCUUCAGUCCUGUCCUACCAGGGCUGAAGGUCAGAUUUGGUCAAUUUAAGUAAAAGAGACUUCAAAUCUCAUAGUGAUUUACUGCCAUUUGGCAGGCAGAUUGUGGGUGUGGUCUGAUAAUGGAAUCUCUCAGAGUAACUGAUCAGCUAGUCAUAAUAUUGUGAUCUGCUCUAAGACACUGGCAGAGUCAUCUUUGUAAACAUGCAAGAAAUCAUAGCAAAGAUAAAGCUUACACUAAAGCUCAGCAUUUUAAAAUAUCUCUCACAUAGCCAAUUUACUUGGCAGACUUUUUAUUUUGUAGGUAUUUAAUCCUGGGGCACAGUAGUGGUCUUGCCUAUAUAUGGAAUAUACCACUAUAUGAUUUAAAGACUGUUAGGAUAAGCCUCUGACACGAAAUCCUUAGUUACUCCUUGGGGUUAGAAUGCAAAUGUAACAUAGAAAGGUUUUACAUUGGACAGUUAUUACGUUUUGAGCUUUUCUUCUGGAUUCCCAUAGAACUUAGUUUAUAUGAAUCAUAUACCAUGUAUCUCUUUUUUCCUCCCACUAACAAUAACCUAGCCAAGCUCUAAUCACUCAUGUCUGAACCAGAGCUAUACCUAAGAUAGAACAACUGGCACCUUGCUUCCAGGUCCCUAAUUUAUACGGUAUUAUCAUUUCCAUAUACUAACCUCCCUACCACCCCCUUUCUUCUUCCCCUUCUACUUUUCUAUAGGGUAAUAUAGGAUUCUAUUCCCCAAUGAAUCUGACUGUUACUCCCUCUUUGAUCCAAUUCUGAUGAGAGUAAGAUUUAAGUAUUACUAGUCGCCACCCUCAUCCUUCCCUCCACUGUAAUAUUUUUUUCUCUAUGCCUCUUUAUGCGAUGUAAUUUACACCAUUUUACCUCUCUUUUCUCAUUUCUCUCAGUGCAAUCCUCUUUUUUAACCCCUUGUUUUUUUUGCAUAUCAUCCUAAAUACCCUCUGUCCAUGUUUAUUUCUUCUAACUACUAUGAUAAUAAUAAAAAUUUUAAGAGAUACAAAUAUUAUCUUUCCAUGUAGAAAUAUACACAGUUCAACCUUACUGAGUCCCUUAAGUUUUUCCUUUUAUUUACAUUUUUAUGCUUCUCUUGAUUUUGUAUUUGGACAUCAAAUUUUCUGUUUAUGUCUGAUCCCCUGAAAGAAUGUAAUCAGUUUUGAUGGGUAGAAGAUGAUUCAUCAUCUACUCAGUUCCCUUGUGUUCCAGAAUAUUAUAUUCUAAGACUUUUGAUCCUUUAAUGUAGAAGCUGCCAAAUCUUGUGUAAUCCUGAUUGGUGCUCUGUGAUAUUUGAAUUGUUUCUUUCUGGCUGCUUACAGUAUUUUCUCCUUGACCUGAGAGCACUUGAGCUUGGCUAUAACUUUCCUGGGAGUUAUCAUUUGGGGAUUUAUUCCAGGAAUCAAUCUGCGGAUUUUUAAAAUUUCUAUUUUACCCUCUUGUUCAAGAAUAUCAGGGAAGUUUUCUUUGAGAAUUUCUUAUAAUAUAACAUCUAGGCUUUUUUUUUAUCAUGACUCCCAGAUAGUCUAUAAUUCUUAAGUUGGCUCUUGCAGAUCUAUGUUUGAGGUCCAUUGCUUUUUCAAUGAGAUAUUUUAUGUUUUCUUCUUAACGUCAUAUUGCCUUUUAAGAAAAAAACUACUUUGGCCUUUGUGGCAGAUAUUAUUUCUGCUGGCUUGUUUAUUGUUCCUCUCUUGAAUGUGCUUCAGAUUUUCCAGCCAUCAGAAAUAAUACCAUAUCACUAAUAGAUACCUUCAUUGUCCCCCACCCCUUUCCAGCUCCCUUUUGUGUGUAGUUUUCCUUUGUUAGAAUGUAAACUCUGAGGGAAAGAAAUAUUUUCCUUUUUUUUUGCAGUAUUUGUAUACCCAGUGCUUAACACAGUGCCUAGCACAAAGUAAGUACCUCAUCAUUGCUUGUUGCUUGCCUCCCAUAGAGGUGAACCUCAGAGUUUAUCUUGAUUUGUAUUUUUUUUUAAUUUUUUUUAGUAUAUUUUCUCAUUGAUUUAUAUUUUUCUAAUCAUUAGUGAUUCUACUUAAAUUUUAGUAAUGUGUUUGAUAAAGUACCUCACGCUGUUUAUUUGGAAAAGAAGGAGAAAGGUCAACUAGACAAUGAUAUAAUUGGAUAAUUUGAAAUUAGUUGUAUGGCUGGAUUCAAAGGAAUAGUCAUUAAUGACUCUAUAUCAUGGAAGGAAAGCUGAAGUUAUCUGCCAAUAACUUGGAAGUAGUAAUAGAUGACAUGCUUAUCAAACUUGAACAUAGAACAAAGAUGGGAAGAAUAGCUAAACAUAUAUUGUUCAUAAAUCUUAGAUGAAGAGGCAGCCCUUCUCCUUACUGAGGCCAAAUUCCCUAUAUGUUCCUUUAAUGGCAUUUUCAGCAAAUUGUCCCAGAUAUCACCCAUAUUUGUCACCUAUUCUUCAGGCUCUCCACAUCUAUAAACAUUGUAGGUGCCUUCAUCCUGAAAAAUAAAAACAACCCAACAACCCUCAUUUGAUAUGACUAUCCUCAUUAUGUAUCUCUUCUCUUCUUGGCUGAGCUUCAUGAGAAAUAUAUCUAUAUUAAGUAUCUUCACUUCCCCCUUACUUACUUAUAAAUUCCUGGUUUCAGAUCUCACCUUUCAAUGAAAACUUCCUCUCCAAAGUUACUAAUGAUCUCUUAAUUGGGAAAGCAAUUAUCCCAUCUCAGACCUCAUCCUUUUUGUUCUCUCCUCAGAAUUCAAGAUAGUUGAUCUCUACUCUUUGCAUUUAGGUUUUCUUGACUCUUCUCUGUCUUAGUUCUCCCCCCCUCUCUUUCUGACUACUCUUUCUUUGUUGUAUCUUCAUCCAUGCCACACUCACUAACCAUAGGUGUCCCCUAAGAAGCUGCCCUGGAUCUCUUUUCCUUUUUCCCAGGAACUUAUUUCAUUUAGUAAUUUCAUUAACUCCCUCAUCAGAUACCGUCUCUAUGCAGUUGAUUCUCAGAUCUAUAUACCUAGCCCCCAUCUUCUCUGAGUCCUUCAUCACCAGUUGCCUCUUGGAUGUCUCAGACUAGGUAUCUUUUCUUUUUUCCUAAAACCAUUACCUUCUGUCUUAUAAUAAUACUGUGUAUUGAUUCUAAGGCAGAAGAGUGGUAAAGGCUAGGCAAUGGGGGUCAAGUGACUUUUCCAGGACACAUAGCUGGGAAGUGUCUUGAGACCAGAUUUGAACCUAGGACCUCCCAUCUCUAGGUCUUGCUCUCAAUCCACAGAGCUACCCAGCUGCCCCCUCAAAUUAGAUAUCUUGUCGGCAUGUUAAUGUAUCCCAAAGAAAAUUCACUCUCUUUCCCCAUAAACUUUCCUUUCAUCUGAUCUUCCUUAUUAUUGAAUGAGCAUCAUUGUUCUCCUAGUCACCAGGUGGCUCCCCAUAUUAGUGCCAUCUUUUACUCCUCAAUCUCACUCAUCCCACCUAUGUAAUCCAUUGCCAAAUCUUGCCAUUUCUGUCUUCUCCACAGCUCUUGUUUAGGUUACUUUCUCCACUCAUCCAGUCAUUGUAUAGUUCAGGCCUUCACCAACCAAAGUUGCCAGCUUCACUCUGUCUUCUAGAGUCAUUGAAGUCCAGUGGCAAGACAAAAUUCAAAUCAACCAUUGAUGGUUCAGGAUGUAGUGGAUAACUUUGGCAUCUUUGAUGUCCAACUAAGCUCUAAGUGCUUCACAGUGUUUGCUUCCAUCACCUUCAUGGCUGUGGAACAAAUUGUUCUAAUCUACCCCUUCUACUGGGGGAAUUCUUCACAUGCCUGGAAUAGAUACCUCUUAACUCACCAAAAAGUUUAUUGUUUUUUAAGACCCUUAUAUUCCAUCAUGGAAUUAAUAUUGAUUCAAAGGCAAAAGAGUGGUAAGGACAAGGCAAAGGGGAUAAGUGACUUGACCAGGGUCACAUAGCUAGAAGUCUGAGGUCAGAUUUGAACCCAAGACCUCCCAUCUCUAGGACUGGCUCUCAAGCCAUAGAGCCACCUAGCUGUACCCCUCAUUGACAGGUUUUUGAGGUCUCUCCUUUACAAUAGUCUCCUCAUUGUUUUCUCUGUAUCAAAUCUCUCCCCAUUCCAAUAUAUCCUCAAAUCAUCUGCCAAAGUGAUUUUCCUAAAGCAUAGCUCUAAUCCUGUCACAUACCCUCCUGCCCCCCACUUCUGCCAUUUACUCAGUUAAAUCCCUAAUAACUCCACGAUCAAAUAUCAAGCCCUUUGUUUGACAAUUAAGACUUUAUGAUUUGACUUCUGCCUAUCUUUCCCUUCCAUGUACCACAUUUCAUCUCUGCUGGUUUAUUUGCUAAUCCUUGAACAGAUAUUUCAACUUCCAUCUCUGUGAUUUUGUAGUUUUUUUUUUUAGGGAACUAAGCUCAGACAUCUCAUUUCUCACUUACCUACUCUGUUCUUUGACUUCUCUGACUUUUCCACUAUGCAGUUAGGUACCUCCUCCAAUCCCUUUAGCUUUUUGCUUACCCAAUUAGUCUUACCAAUUAGAUUAUAAGCUCCUUAAGUGCAGGGGCUGCUUCCUAUUUUAUAUUUGUACACCUCUUAUUUUUAUAUAUAUUUACAUGUUGUUUCUUCCUUUAGAAUGUAAACUCCUUGGAGGUAGAGACUGUUUUUUACUUUAUUUUCCUCUCCAGGACUUAGCAUGAUGACUAGCAUUUAUAAGAGCUUAAUAAAUGCUAUCAGCAACAAAUCAUUUGUUAUUUCAGAAGGGAACGGUUUAUACUGGCAUUUCCUACAUUCUUUGACUUUCUCUACAUUAUACUGGACUUUAAGAAUCCUUAACUUGCCUAACAGUCAGUUCUAUGUCCAGAAGAGGUCAGGCUUGUUCUCUUGUAAUGCUUUGCAGUUGUAGCCAAUAGUUACAGAUAACCAAUCUAGCAUUGUUCUUGUGGUAUACUAUCAAGUUAACCUAUUUUCUUCCUGUGACUGUUUUUUUCUGAAACAGAAUGAGACUUGACAUUAUGCCUUCUAACUGGUCUUCUAACUAAUCUUGCCAUUUUCCAAUCUGUUUUAUACACUUCUGUCAAGUUAAUCUUUAUAAAGCAUAGAUGUGAUUAUUUUACUUUCCUGUUCAAAAAGCUACUGAGUCCAUCUUCCUUCUCCUGCAUUCAAGGCCUUCCUCGACCUGGCUCCAAUAUACAUUUUCUGAUCAUAUCUUGCCUCUAGCCAAACUACUCACUAUAUUUAAACAUAUUUUACACUUUUUCUGAAUUUGCUACAUCAUUUUUAGUCCCUGUCUUUUUCUAACUCUGCCAGUUUAAAACCUAUCAGUCCUCUGGAUUUACAUAGUUUUGGUUCAAUCUUGGAGAUUCAUCACUAAUUACCAUCAUUUUGGCUUAUGCUCUCUCCCAGAUUUUCCACUGAAAACAUUAUAAUUCAGCUACUAUUUAAGUCUAUUUAGAAAAAGAAAAGUGGCAGUCAUUUCUCAUGUAGUCAUUCUACCUAACAACAUAUCAAAUAUAGUUGAGACUUUAAUUAACCUAUCAGAAUAUGCAAAAAAACUUUUAUACCUAACCUACUCAAUAGCAACAACUCAUCCUGCCCUGGUGAAAAACCUUCACCUCCCCCCAAGAAUCUAUAUGUUUUCCUGAUUUAGACUACUGUCUCAGAGUUGAGAAUCUAUCACUACCCAAGAACAAGGAAGAGGGCCAACCCCUUCUCUCCUGAACCAAAACAAACCAUCUAAAUCCCAGCACCUGGUAUAAAAGAGAAUUCCUUACUCUGUUGUCUAUCCUGAGUUAACACUAACUUAAAUGCCCCUACUUAGUACCUCACUAGACUGAAGACAGGAUUAACUCCCCCUUGUCUACUUUUGAAUUGAAUCAACAAAAGAUUAAACACCCUACUUACCACUAGGUAGGAAGCUAGCAAAGUACUUAGAGAAUUCAUACCCUUAGAAAUCCAAUCAGCUGGGAAUCUGUGAAUUUUUUUGAUGAGAACUUAACCUUCAAAAGGUGAGAAGUUGAUCCUACAGACACUGCCCCCUGGGCAGUGCUAGACAAUUUGGAAACUGUGAUUGGCCCCUGUGAAGAGGGGAAGAGAAAAGAAGUCACAUAAAAAGCAAGCCCCAAACUCCUUCAAAGCAGAUUGUCUUUGAGAAGAUAGACUGAAGAGAUUGUCUUCUGGAGAUAAUCUUAGAUAGUUUUUGAGGGAGAUUCACUGAAGACUACUCCUUGGAUUGUGGGCUUGGAGUUCAGCUUCUACUGGGACUCUGAAUCUAAGGAUUACUUUGUUGGGUGAGUAAAAGGCUGACCUUUUUCCUACCUUCUGGAGAGACUAAUUUCCAUCUUGUAGGAGGCCAGGUGGUUACUCACUACCAGCCUUCCUGAUUGAGAACUAAUUAAUCUCUACCUGGAUUAAGCAGACUUUUGGCAAAGCAUUUAGGUUGAUAGGAUAGAUAACUUCUCUAUCCCCCUCACAUUUCUCUUCUUUAUUAUUUCUUCCCUAUUUGUAAAUAUUUGUAAAUAAAUUUCUGACUUGAUAAAAUAAAUGCUGGUGACCACAUAAUUUUAUAUAAUCAUUGUGCAACCAUUCAUUUUAACCUUUACACUGGGAAAGUCAUGGUCUAGGUUUGCCCCUCCACAUCCCAACUCUAGUUCCUAUAUAAUGCAAGAAUUCCUCUACUUGGUUCAGGAGCUUUUCCACUAAGUGUGGGUAUAUAGGAAGCUUGAUUCCAGAACCAUUCAUUGUCCAAGGCCUAUGCUACUGCUCUGCCACCAUUCCUCCACUGCUGUAAGAUUCUGUUACUUCAGCUCACUCUGGCCCAGGAUUCCCUGCCCUUUACUUCUCCCUCUCUGCUUCUCUCCUUGAGCUUACCUCAGCACCCUGAUACACAUGAUUCCCUGGAGAAGGAACUUGAAGUGUAUCUAUGUGUCUAAUCAGCUUCUCUCCACUCAUCUGGGCUCUAGUUGUCUCAUAGGUAUUGCCACCUCUCCAGACCUAAAAAAAAUCCAGGUCCAAGGGUAUUGCUCAGGUGGAUUACUAUCCAUGACUCAAUCAUUAAUCUUUAAUGUGGUAUGAACAGUUCCCCAGGCCAUAAUACUUUAUCAAGGUAACUCCAUUAGCCAGAACAAAUGCUUCAAAGAAUUAACCUGGUUAACAAGGAGAAUUAACCUGGUUAACAAGGAAAAUUAACCUUAUCAAGAGCUUAAUAUCUCAUUAAGGAGACAGGAGGGAUUUGAGAGGGCUUCAACAACCUCUAUAUUUGACAUGUCUUUUAUAUUUUUGUUCAUGUCUUAGAUAAGAUUCUCAAAUAUAUUUUAUUUAACAAUCACCCUCAUUAUCUAGCUUUGCACAUGGUAGACACUUUGUGAUAUUUGUUGACUGUUGCUGAUCAGAUUUACUGAUGUAAAUUCUGUCCUAAACAUCCCUGAAAUCCUUGGAGGCCCCUUUUCUUCCACCGACCUGUUUCGUAAUUAGCAAAAAAAGAAAAAGGGAAGAAUAAUCUUCUCUUGAAGAGAAUGUCAUGCCUAUUAUUUAGCAUGUAGUUAUAUAUUCUUGUUAACAUAAAGCUGGAAUGAGAGGAUUCUGAAAAACUAAGGAACUAGUUAUUCAUUUUUGUCUCCCCUGACUCAUGACUCAUGACCAAGGGAAAAAAAAAUUAAGGGCUGGAUUCAACAGGAAGAAGAAGAAAAUGAGGAUGGUGAAGAAUACAAUUUUUUACCUGCAGAGCCUCAAAUCUCAGGGAAGAUUUUGCUCUCAUUUGGGUUGCAGUGCAGCCCCAGGACCCAGAAUUGAGUUAAGGAACUGGAGCCCUUUGAAUAAAUCCUCUCUCUCAAUUUUAUUUAUUUGAAGACUGGACUCACAAUGGCUUUAUUUCAUUCUCAUUCUUUUAUACUGUGUUGUUCUUCUGAAUAUUUAAAAUAGUUUCCAAUGCUUUGGUAAAGCCAGAACCAUUCCAUUUCUUUUAGAAUGGAAGAGUACACAUUAUCUACAUGUGCUGAUUUAACCUCUAUUUCUUUAAGUAUCUUCUUACAUGAUUUGUAUAAAUAGAGAUUUGGACAAGGCCUUUGGCUGUGUCCCAGCAGGUCAAACAUCAGGAUUAUCUCUAGUCAAAUAGAGAUUUAUAAGAGCUGGUCCCAUGAAUUAAUAUUGUCUGCUCUUUGAAAACAAAUUUCUUUUAAAUGCUAUUGAUAAGGGUAAAGAUGAUGAGCUUGAUGAUGAUGUCAUUUCCUUUUAAAGUUACCAUGAAUUAAUUUAAUCCCCUCCAAAAUAUUGAACUAAAGAGUUUAAGUGUUCUAGUUUGCUUCUUUCUUACCCCUUCCAUUUUCAGGAUAUGUUCCUCCUUGUUUUCAUCUUGAUAUGAAGGGCACUUGGAAAAUAGUUAGCAUUUAUAUAGAGUUUUGAGGUUUAUAAAGUGUUUUAAAAGUAUUAACUCAUUUGAUCCUCAAUUGUUGUCCUGGGAGGCAAUUAUUAUCCCCACUUUACAGAUGAGGAAACAAACAGAUUAAGUGAUUUGCCCAGGGGCAUUGUAGCUAGUCAGUGUCUGAGGCCAGAUUUGAACCCUCAAGCCUUGAUGAUGGUAGGGCUUCCAGUUUCUUGAGUUCCUAUUUUAAUAGGAAUUGACCUAUGCAAUUGUCUUCCUACUGCUCUCUUUGUUCACUUCUGUUCACAAGAUAGAGUUUGGCUCUGAAGGAGACAUUAGCAAGCAACCAUCUAGUCCAACCUCUUCGUUUUCAGAGAGAAAACUGAGGUCCAGAGUGGCAAGUGUGUUAGCCAAAGGUCACACAAUAUAUUGGGACUUGAACACAGUUCUUUUCACUCUAGAAUUAGUGCUCUUUUCAUGUUGGCUCUAUUUGUAGGUGACCAGAACAGCAAUUUUAUCCUUGUUACUUGGGUGGCAACAGGUCAGGGCAGCUCAAGAGGGUGCCUGAGUGGGCCAACUACUGUUUUCAGGCAGGCUGGUCAAGUCCUGCUUGAGAAGAGCAGAGAUUGGGAAGAAUAGGGAAUCAGCACAAGUGGGAUUAGGAACCCAGGCUUUAGCGAUUUGGAAAUAAAGGGUCAGGGAUCUAGGCAAAGAGUCUAUGCAACAUGGAUUAAGAAACCCAGGCUGGACUCCAGAUCUGUCCAAGCAGACUCUAGGCCAGAAGCUGGGCAAAGUAACAGAAAGAAGACACCAUGUAGAAGAAUACGACUUUAUAUUGCCAGAUGUUCCCUAUAUAUCUUUUGGCCAGGCCAAAACUAUUUCCAAAAUGUGAGUGGACCAGAAGAAUGAGUUAGAGGCUAAUAGUCAGUGGCAUGCUUUCAUAAAAAUUUGUUAUGCCAGUUAACUUCAGUUUUAUUUUUAACCUGGUAAUUAGUCCUAUAGAUUUAGGAAAAUGUUGUAGAUAUAGUUUAUGUAGAUUUUAAUAAAGCAUUUGACAAGUCUCUAAUUAUAUCCUUCCAUCAACCAAUUAGCAUUUAUUAUCUUCUAUGGGCCUUGCACUGUGCUAGAUUCUAGGUAAACAAAAUACAAAAAUAUGAAAUAACGAGGCUUAUAUGCUAAUGAAGGAUACACGAAGUACAUAUAUAAAUAUAUGCCAAAGAAAUAUAAAGAGAAUUUAAACAUAUAAAGAAAUAUAAAGACAAAUGCAAAACAGUUAAAUGCACAGUAGUUUAGAGGGGAACACUAGCAAUUGGGAUGAAGAAAAGGUUUCAUGUUAAAGGUGGUACAUGAGCUGUGUCUUGAAGAGACAUCUUAAGGAAAUCCAUGAAAUAGAGGUGAAGAGGGAAUGCAUUCUAGGCAUGGGCUUAGAAAUGGGAGAUGGAGGGUCAUGUGCAAGGAGCAGAGAGAAAGCCAGACUGGAUUGCAGAGUAUGGGAAAGGUAUGUACAUGUAUUUAUAAUGUACAGUAGGGCUGGAGAGAUACCCAAAGGCCAUAAGCCAAACAGUUUUUAUUUUACCCUGAAGGUAAUAGAUGAGUAUAGGAGUGACUUUGGCAACAAUGUAGAGGAAGAUUAGAGUGAAGUGAGGCUUGAUUUAGAAAGACCAAUUAGGAGAUUAUUGCAAAUAUUUAGGUGAGAAGUGAUAAGAGGACAAACAGAAAGAAGGGCACAGAUGUGAAAGCUGUUGUGGAGGUAGAAUUGGCAAGUUGCAGAGGUUUGUCAACUGACUGAAUAUGUGGGGCAAGGGAGAGUGAGGUGUCAUGGGUAAUGCCAAAGUCAUAAACCUGGGAGAGUGGAAGAAUGGUGGCAACUUAGGGAGAAAUAGGGAAUUUGGAAGAGAAGUGGGUUGGAAGGGUAAGAUUUUGAGCAUGUUGAAUUUGACAUGACUCUAGGAUAUAGAGUUAGAAAUACCCAAAAGAUAAUCAACAUUAUGGGAAUGAAUCGCAGGGAAGAGACUAAGGCUCAAUAUGUGGAGUCACUUGCAUAGAAAUCAUAAAAAUAAAACCCACAUCAGAUCAUGAAGUUACCAAAAGAAAGUGAGGGAAAGAUAACAAGAUGGAGAGAUGAGUAGAGGAUAGUAAUGUGAAGAUUAAAGUUAACUCCCCCCUGAUUGUGAAGAUUAAAAUUAUAAUCCCUGCCUAUUUUUAGAUUUAAAUCACCAAAAAUGUAAACACCCAACUUAAAAGUUGAGUAUGGAGAUCUGUCCAUUUUUAGAUCUAAUCACUAAAAGUAUAAACAUCCCACUUAAUCAUUAAGUGGAAGGUCUGUGACCCAUGUGUGCGAUAGUGAGUGACGAAUCAGAAUCAACUGACUACCUCCUGGGCAGUCCUAAAGCAAAAGUUCAAAUGUGAUUGGUAGACAUAGAAUUAGGGGAAGGCACAGGAAGUGAUGCAAGAUAAAGUGUCUUUAAAAGAGAGUGACAACUUCCUGAAGGGUUCUACUUGGAGUUCUACUUGGAGAGGAGGCUGAAGAGAAUCUGCUGACUGAACCUGAGACCCUGUUCCUGGUGAGGCUGUUCUAAAAUCUCUUCCUUUGAACUGACACGUGGUGAGUGAAAAGCUGGCUCUUAAUUGCUAGAUUUUUCUGUAGAGACUUUCCCAGGUCCUAGGAUUUUGCCAAGGCCUAAGGACUAACUCUCCCUGCCUAGGGCUAUGAGUAAAUUACUUAGUGCUUAAGCUAGAUAUCUUACCCUAUCCUCUCUCUGAUUUUCUUACUUCACUCUUUCUAUAUUUUGUAAAUAAAUUGUAAAUAAAUCUCUUUGGAAUUAAUAUAAAUUCCUGGCAACCACACUCUUAAAUAAUCCAGUCCAACCCUUUUAAAAUUAACCCCUUUUCCCCCUUACAGUAAAAGUGUGUGAAUUUAGUCAGGUUAAAUGAUGAGACUCAAAAGAUUAAUCACAGGAACUUUCACUGGCGUGCCACAGGGAACUAUCCAUGACUCUAUGCUCAUUACCAUUUUUAUCAAUGAUUUAUCAGUGGAGCCUUGACACAGAGAUGACAAGCUGGCCACAUUAGCAAAUGGCAUGAAACUGGAAAGGUUAACUAAAAUGUUAGAUGACAGAAUCUGGAUGCAAAAUGUUCUUUCAGUCUAGAAUUACAGGUUCAAUCUAGUGAGAUUCACUUGAUGAAUCUCAUUCAACAGAUACUUAUUAAGCACUUCCUAGAUGCUAGGGAUACAAAGACAAAGAAAAGUAGUUCUUGCUCUCAAGGAGCUUACAGUCAAAUAUGAGUAAAAACAAAAUAAAUUCUAAAUGAUUUUGGUCAGGGUGGGGACAGAAAACACUAGCAACUAUGGAAUUCAGGGAAAACUUCUUAUAUAGGAGGUAAGCUAGGCAUUUUGAGAAACAGAGGUGAGCAUGGAGAGUAUUAUGAAGCAUGCUGGGCAGGAAUGUGAGGUCAGAGGAGGUACAAUAUAGAAUCAAUCCAAAAGGAUGGAUUAGAGACAGAUUGUAAGGACAUAUAAUGCCAAAGAAGUUUGUAUUUCUACAGCCAAUAGGGAACCAGUGAAGCUUCUACAGCAGGGGAGUGAUGUGGUCAGGUUAGCACUUUAGGAAUAAAAUACCAAGUGCUUUGUAAAGGAUGGAUUGGAGAUCAGGAAACCUAGAGGUAUUCCUUGUAGGACGCUAUUGUCAGAGUGUAAAAUAUUAUUAUUUUUUUUAAUUGCAAAGUUUAAAUUCCUUUUGAGAAAAAUUUUAGGUUAAGAAACAUGCUACCUCUCCGAAUCCAGAAAGUGAACUGUUUGGAGAACACACCAUGAAGAUGCUUCCACAGACUACAAGCUGCACCAGAAGAUUCAGAGUGAACCUUGGGAUGUGGUGAUUUGAACUGUGUGGGGUUGAAUGCAUUUGUUUUGUAUGUAUACUCUUAUGCCAAAGGGGACUGCCCCCUAACAGGCUUUUUGUCAAUGCACCUAGCAAUCAUUGGUUUUGUUCUCUUUUCUUCUUAUCCUCAAAUUAUUGUAAUUUCAAAGUUGGUAUAUUUACAAGACCUGUCAGAGAGACUAGUCUAUCUCAGCUCUCAGAGGAGGAAUGUAAAAAUGGAAAUUUUGAACCCUAGACUUCAAUCUCCAGAAGUCCUUGGUAUUUCCCAGAAUUCCCUAUAAUCACACCUGAGUCCCCACCUAGGCAAGAUCACAAUUGGUAUUUAACUGGCAGUAAAGCCUCCCAUGCUCUCUUCUAGGCUUUUCUCUCUGCCAUUGCAAUGAUGUAAUAAGUAAGCUAAGGGCAGGGAUUUGAAUGGGCGAAUCAGCCAUGGGCACAUGAUUAUUAUUUUGUACCUUCUUUAUUCCUCAAUUUCUAAUAAUCCUUAGUAAACCUCUAAAAAUAAUAUGUUUUUAUUAGUAGAGAUAUAACUUAAUUUUUACAACAGACAAGAAGAAAGGUUAAGGACCUGAACUAGAGGGGUAAUUGUGUGAGUUAAAUAAUAAACUUAAUAAGGAUUUUUAAGAACUUUUUUCUUUAAAAAAUGUUCUACACAAAUUCUAAAGUAAACUUGCUUCACAAGUAAAAGAUCAAGGAACCUUGACAAGGUAGCAAUUCAUAUGGAAGAGUUCUCAAAUUUUUACUGUAUUAGCAAUUCAAAAUAAGGCCACAAGUGAUACAGUAUCCAAUAAUAGCAAAGACUAGCCUAAGCUAUUUUAAAAAGCACAGUGUCCUAAAGAUAGUUCUAUACUGUAUUGUGUUCCCUGAUUAGAUAACAUUUGGAAUAGUACAUUUAAUUCUAGGUACCACAUUUUAGUGGAGCUAAAUAGUUCUCUGCUAGAUCUGGAGUUGGGAAGUCCUGAGUUCAGAUUUGGCCUCAGACACUUAUUAGCUGUGCCAACUCACUUAACCCCUAUUUUCCUCUCUUCCUUAUCUAUAAAAUGAGGACAUUCUGGAAAAGGAAAUGGAAACCCACUCCAGUAUCUUUGCCAAGAAAACUCCAUAGUCACAUAGAGGUGGACAUGACUGAACAACCACCACCACCAUAUUUUAGAGGACCUGACAAAAUUCACACUUUCCAGGCAGAACCUUUGAGAAUUCAGGGCCAGAUCUUUACAGCAUAAUGAGGCCUCAGAUGGAGAAUGGCACACUCCUUGUGCAUGCUUACCUCAAGAGAGAGAAGGGAAGGAUUAUGGUUGUUAUGACAGGUGGCAGGAACCUUACAUCUAAUCAUAGUUCUACCUCCAUGACCCAGUUCCAGAGAGACUAAAAGUUCUUCCAACCCUGUCUCCUAACUUUUUUCAGCCAGCUGGAUUUAUCCAUUCAGAUACCCUCCCUUCCCUUCCCUAAUUUGGCUUUCUGUCAAUGCGCCUAGCAAAACAUUGGUUUUGCUUUCUUUCUUUUCUAUUCCUCCAUCACUACUCUAAUUUCCUCUUAGAAAAUUGAAUAUUGUAUGAAUCUGUAGUUAGAAGUGCGUUUAGGACUACAAGAUGAUUAUGUUAAAUGAUCAAUGGAGAGACUAGUCUCCCAAUGAUCAUCAGGGGGGAUUGUGAAUCUUAAAACUGCUCAAACUCUACCUUAAAACAUUUGGUUAAGGUUAUUCCCCAUUUAAACAAUGGAAGUACUUGAUCAGGAAUGUAUUGGGAACUUUAAAAUUACUCCACCCAUACUUAGGCAUAUUUUAGGGGAAGAUAAAGUUGUAAACUCCUUACUGAACAAUGAAAAAGUACUUAACUCAUACUUAUAGUGAGGCAAAAGCCCUUAAGCUAGGUCUAUUUUUAGAUCUAAUACAAAAGGGUGCUAAGUACCUAUAAAAGUUAAAUUAAUCACUAAAAGGGCAAGCUUAGCAAAGAGAUGUGAAUUACUCAGAAGUUUUAGUCUGCCCAGAGAAGUGAUGAUAAGAUGUGAAUUGGAAUGGUCAGUCCUUUGGAAAAUGUCUACUGUGAUUGGUAGAUGUGAAAAUUUAGGGGAGGUGACAUAGGAGAAAAUUCUCUUUAAAAGGAGGUCAGAGGCCUCUGGACUGAGUCAGCUUAGGAGGCUGAAUUGGAGUCUCUCAGUGGCUGAACUUAGUUGAGCUCAGGAACUUAACUGGAGGGUCUCUCUGAACACCAGAGUUUUGCCUGGGACAAAGUCUUGUGGUGAGUGAUUAAGGACUCACUAGUCUCUCUUAAAGCUCAGGCCUAGGCCAAUGGCCUAGACCCUUUCCUACUAUUUCCUCUGCCUCUCUCUCUCUCUCUCUCCCCCUUUCUUUAAUUCCUUCACUCGUAUUAAUUAAAAUCUCCAUAAAACCCAGCUAACUUGGGUAUUUCAUAUUUGGGCAUUUUCCCCCAUGGCGACCACUUAUUUUUUAUUUAAAUCAAGACACUAAAAAUUAUCUUUACGGUUUGGCAAUUCACAGUCUUGAACCCACAUUUUCACAGUCACGGUUUAUGGCAACCACUCUUUUGUCUGUAACACUUCCUACAUGUAUCAAGGCUAACUGGCUUUGGUAGUUACUCUGGAAAACAGAGCUAUCAAAUGCUUCAUCACAAUAGGACCAAGGUUUUGAGAGGCUGGAUGAGAGUGGGCUUGGAAGUUGAAAAUCAAGGACCAGAACACUCCUAUGAAGAUCAAGCAUGUUGGGAGCCCUUUAGGCUUCUUCUAUAUAUUAUGUUUAGUUCCGUCAGUAAAUUUGGCCACUUCUUCAUGGUAAAAAUAAGUCAUUAAGUGUUUAUUAGGCUCCUACAAUUUGUUUGGCAGUGUGUAGAAUAUGGAAGUGAAAGGAUAGUCCUUGUUCUCAGAGAGCUUAUGUUCUAAGCUGGGAAAUAAUAUACACCAUAAGGCAUUAUACACUCAAGUUUUAAAUUGUUUAGAAUAGACAACUUUAAUAGGAAUUUGGGGGGGGGUGAAGAUGAAUAAGAGCCGUAUAAGUUGGAGGAAACUUCACAGAGGAAGAGAUACUUCAAAAGACAGAGAUGGAAAGGAUACCUUCAAGGUCAUCUAGUCUGAUCCCUAUAUUUUACAGUUGAGGAAACUAAGAGGAAAUGACUUGCUGCUUGGUCGCAGAGAAACUGAACGGCAGAACAGAUAGCAUUUUUCCAACAGUGUCCCUAAACUGAGCAAAACUUUGAAGAAUGGGCAAAAAAUAGAGAGGAGAGGGGCUUUUGGGCCUGAUGGGGGAAGCAAAGGUAGUCUUUAGAAUGGAGGGAGAGGCCAGCCCCUUUCUCUGGGAUUCUCUUUGAAUUUCCCAGUCACUGCUCUGUUAGGAGAUUCCAGUUCUUUAUAUGAAAAAUACAAACCAAGACCAAUUCCAAAGAGAAAGUAACCACCACCAGAGACAGAAAAGUCAGUCUUGUUGGGUGAUGACUGAAUCCCCGCCUUAACCAGCCAGAGGGAGCCUGGGAAUGCAAAGUUCAUGAUUAUGCCAAAAGCACAGCACACAUUCCAAAGUGCAGUCACCCCCUCAGACAAAGAAGGCCCCACCCCACCCAGGCACAAGGCACAGACCUGCUCCAAGUAACCCAAGGGUAGCCUGGGGCUCACAGUUCACCUGGAGGUUUGACUGGUUUGUUCCCUUGUCCUUUUAAUACUUGCAAAGGGAGUGUACACUUGGGCAUCCGAGUUGGUUUUUUCUCAGGUUUUCACAGGGUUGUCCUUUGCCUCAUUCUUUGCAUUUACUUCAACUUGUAUGACAUGUAAGUGUCACCAGAGUAUGGUCAGUACCUAAGCGUUGAUGGGGAUAGUGUAGAAUUGUUAGAGGAGAACCUGAAUCUUUUCACAGUUUGAUUUCUCACAUGUGGCAAAGCCCUCGCCUGGCAUCAAGCUGUGUUGGGCAGCAGUCCGAAGAAAUAGUAGCAAGCUCUUUGUGCCCUGCCCCUCCCAGACGCGCUGCAAACAAACUCUACAAGGUUAAAAUCUCUGCCCUCUGCUCCUGAUUCCCUGCGCAGCCUUGGACAAGUCAUUAACUCUCUCUGGGCAUUUUUCUUCAUUUUCAGGAAGUCUUCAUUGAGCCUGACGAGGCCAAGUGACUUUUUAAGUAGUGGUAAAGCAAGAAUUCUUGUUCAAGAUUAGUUGGCAUAUGGGAUCCCUUCCAAGUUCUAGACUCGGUCUGAUGCUAACAGUCUAUGACUCUUCACAAAUAAGACUUAUAGAGCUAGUAUGGCAUAAUAUACAAAGGCUUUGGAACCCAGAAGCCUUGGGUUCAAGGACUGCCUCUGGCACUGAGCUGUGUGGCCCAGGUGAAAUUACUUAACCUCCCAGUGCCUAAGGCACACUGUCUAUAAAUUACAAGAGAAUUGAUGAUCUGUGACCUGGAAGAGAGUUUCGAUGUUGAGAGUUUUCUUGUGGAUGACAUCAAUGUGUCCAGAGUUCUUCCCCACCCCCAGGAUCAGAUUAACUGGGACCUCAUUGUUUAGCCCCUCCCCGCCCCUGCUCCCCUCCCUUUUGCUUCCCUGGUGUUGCUGCUUAAACCCGUGAUCCUCUGGAAGCCAGGCAGUUUCUCAUAGUCCCAGGACCAUAAGCGCGCAAAGCCACCUCAGAGCUCCCCUUUGGCUCCACUUGUUCAGCCCCUGAGUUUCUCUGGCCCAGCAGGCAGAGAAUGGGCAUAGGAAUUGUUAAUUUAACAACUCACAGAAAUAUGGAAGUCAAGUUUCCUACAAUAGAACCAAAAUAGAGUCUUGAACCCUGACCUCCAGUGGAGAAGUGAUGAGUCUUGGUACACUCAAAACACAGAGUAAAAGACAAAGGGAAUUUGAGCAGAAAUAUUCCUUUGGGCUCAGUUCUUCACCCUCAGGUCCUGGCCUUGAGUGCUUCCUGCCUGAUCCCUCUGUCAGGAUUGAGGCUUGUUAGGAUGGCACAUUUGAGUUGCCUUUCAUUGCACUAUCUGCCAAGCAUGAUUCGAUGCAUAAAAUUAGGAGGUGAAGGCAAAUUGUCUUUCCUCAGUUGCUCUUUCAUAAGGUAGAGUCUUGAUUUAUAAUAAAAGGUAGGGAGGACAUGAGGAAUUUAAUCAGUCAGAGUAGGAUGUAACAAGGCCAGGGCUUUCUCAUUGUCUGUGUCUUAAUACUGGUCACUCGUGCUAUCUCCAAACAUGUAGGUCUGGGCAAGUUGCCUAUGUUGACCAUAUACACAGCAAGCUUGUGGUCUGUCCAUCCCUCAAGGAACUUUGUUUCUUCUCUUCUUUCCUAGGACUUUUCUCCUCUGAGUGCUGCUGAGAACUUCUCACAAGGCAAAACAUCUUAAGAAUCUCUUCAUCAAACACAGCCAAUGUCUUCUCUGGACCAUUAAGAGA
This is a non-coding RNA of Monodelphis domestica (gray short-tailed opossum), 26397 nucleotides long. The record is from RefSeq and is a predicted model, not a curated record. Lineage: Eukaryota; Metazoa; Chordata; Mammalia; Didelphimorphia; Didelphidae.